GAUGAACGCUGGCGGCGUGCUUAACACAUGCAAGUCGAGCGAAGCACUUUUGCGGAUUUCUUCGGAUUGAAGCAAUUGUGACUGAGCGGCGGACGGGUGAGUAACGCGUGGGUAACCUGCCUCAUACAGGGGGAUAACAGUUGGAAACGGCUGCUAAUACCGCAUAAGCGCACAGUACCGCAUGGUACCGUGUGAAAAACUCCGGUGGUAUGAGAUGGACCCGCGUCUGAUUAGGUAGUUGGUGGGGUAACGGCCUACCAAGCCGACGAUCAGUAGCCGACCUGAGAGGGUGACCGGCCACAUUGGGACUGAGACACGGCCCAAACUCCUACGGGAGGCAGCAGUGGGGAAUAUUGCACAAUGGGGGAAACCCUGAUGCAGCGACGCCGCGUGAGCGAUGAAGUAUUUCGGUAUGUAAAGCUCUAUCAGCAGGGAAGAAAAUGACGGUACCUGACUAAGAAGCCCCGGCUAACUACGUGCCAGCAGCCGCGGUAAUACGUAGGGGGCAAGCGUUAUCCGGAUUUACUGGGUGUAAAGGGAGCGUAGACGGCAUGGCAAGCCAGAUGUGAAAGCCCGGGGCUCAACCCCGGGACUGCAUUUGGAACUGUCAGGCUAGAGUGUCGGAGAGGAAAGCGGAAUUCCUAGUGUAGCGGUGAAAUGCGUAGAUAUUAGGAGGAACACCAGUGGCGAAGGCGGCUUUCUGGACGAUGACUGACGUUGAGGCUCGAAAGCGUGGGGAGCAAACAAAAGUAGAUACCCUGGUAGUCCACGCCGUAAACGAAGAAUACUAGGUUUUGGGGGCAAAGCCAUUCGGUGCCGCCGCCAACGCAAUAAGUAUUUCCACCUGGGGAGUACGUUCGCAAGAAUGAAAUUCAAAGGAAUUGACGGGGACCCGCACAAGCGGUGGAGCAUGUGGUUUAAAUUCGAAGCAACGCGAAGAACCUUACCUGGUCUUGACAUCCCUCUGACCGCUCUUUAAUCGGAGCUUUCCUUCGGGACAGAGGAGACAGGAGGUGCAUGGUUGUCGUCAGCUCGUGUCGUGAGAUGUUGGGUUAAGUCCCGCAACGAGCGCAACCCCUAUCUUUAGUAGCCAGCAUUUAAGGUGGGCACUCUAGAGAGACUGCCAGGGAUAACCUGGAGGAAGGUGGGGAUGACGUCAAAUCAUCAUGCCCCUUAUGACCAGGGCUACACACGUGCUACAAUGGCGUAAACAAAGGGAAGCGAGCCCGCGAGGGGGAGCAAAUCCCAAAAAUAACGUCCCAGUUCGGAUUGUAGUCUGCAACUCGACUACAUGAAGCUGGAAUCGCUAGUAAUCGCGAAUCAGAAUGUCGCGGUGAAUACGUUCCCGGGUCUUGCACUAACCGCCCGUCA
Molecule: ribosomal RNA, 1371 nt
Filed under: uncultured bacterium
Lineage: Bacteria
Description: bacterial SSU rRNA
Rfam family: Bacterial small subunit ribosomal RNA
Source: RNAcentral